Molecule: ribosomal RNA, 699 nt
Filed under: uncultured bacterium
Lineage: Bacteria
Description: bacterial SSU rRNA
Rfam family: Bacterial small subunit ribosomal RNA
Source: RNAcentral
AGAGUUUGAUCCUGGCUCAGGACGAACGUUGGCGGUGCGCUUAAUGCAUGCAAGUCGAGGGAGAAGCAGACGUUCCGUAAGGUUCGACUGUGGAAACCGACGAACGGGUGCGUAACACGUGAGAAACCUGCCCCCCAGAUCGGGAUAGCCCAGGGAAACUUGGAUUAAUACCGGAUACUCUCUUUGGAUCGCAUGAUCCAUUGAGGAAAAGUCCGCUGCUGGGGGAUGGUCUCGCGGCCUAUCAGCUUGUUGGUGAGGUAACGGCUCACCAAGGCUAAGACGGGUAGCUGGUCUGAGAGGACGAUCAGCCACACUGGAACUGAGAUACGGUCCAGACUCCUACGGGAGGCAGCAGUGGGGAAUAUUGCACAAUGGGCGAAAGCCUGAUGCAGCGACGCCGCGUGCGGGAAGAAGGCCCUAGGGUUGUAAACCGCUUUCAGUAGGGAAGAAAAUGACGGUACCUACAGAAGAAGGUGCGGCCAACUACGUGCCAGCAGCCGCGGUGACACGUAGGCACCAAGCGUUAUCCGGAUUUAUUGGGCGUAAGGAGCUCGUAGGCGGUUCGAUAAGUCGGGUGUGAAAACUCUGGGCUCAACCCAGAGAGGCCACCCGAUACUGUUGUGACUAGAGUACGGUAGGGGAGCGGGGAAUUCCUGGUGUAGCGGUGAAAUGCGCAGAUAUCAGGAGGAACACCAGCGG